AGGACCUAGAGAAAGACAAAACGGGAGUCUCCUUAGGGGCAAGGCAAGUUCAUCGACUUCAUAAAGACACCAAAGAUGUGUUCCGAAGCUCAAUUCAUGCACAUUCAAGAAUGAAGGCAAUGGGUUUUCAUUGGAAAAUCUACCCCAAAUUAAUCUAUUUCUAACAGGGGCUGUCACUGAGUUGUAGAGUGUUUGCCCAGCAUGUACAAGAUUGUGCUUUGAGCCCCGAUGUUGCAAACAAGAAGAUGCUGUAAAGGUCUGUUGUAGGCUACAUGACCUACUGUUUAACUCCGAAGUCUAAUGCUAGCCGGAUCAUUGCAUUUGGCACAUGUCUGAUACUGGUGCAGGAAGCCAUCCCUGUACCUCUGAGAUAGGAAAGCACAGGAAGCUGGGUGCAUUCUGCUUUUCAGCAAUACCACAGAUAGUGCAUUGGAUAUAAUUAAAUUCCACAGAACUAAAGGAAAGGGACACCAUAGACCAGAACUUUUUUUUUUCUUCUUUUGGUUCUUUUUUUUUUUUUUUUUUUUCGGAGCUGGGGACCGAACCCAGGGCCUUGCGCUUCCUAGGCAAGCGCUCUACCACUGAGCUAAAUCACCAACUCCAGACCAGAACUUUUAAAAUAAACUUGCUUUGUUUCUCUUUUGGAGUGGAGUAGGAUGUUGUUAAAUAACUCUGCAAAUGUCAAUAAUGUGGGAGGCAAAGGAAGGAGGACCAAGAAUGAGGAACUAGCCUGGGCUACAGGGUAAGAGCUUGGCUGAAAACAAGCAAGCAAACCCCUCAAUAUCACUAAAGCAAAGCAAUCUUAGUUCUAGUUAAUUGUAGCAUUGGGGAUUGAACCCAGGAUCUUGUGUAUGCAGGGCAAGCACUCUACCACUGGGCUACAUUUCCACUCUUAAAUUAUUGUUUUUCAUCACCAACUUUUAUAUGCAAUACAGAAGUGAAAUGCUGUACUCGAUGAGAUUGGGAAAACAAGACUGUGUACUCUGGAAACUGGAGACUGAGAAUGGUGGCAAGCCCUCCCCAGGGUCUGGCUCAGUUUGUGCAGGUGAAUUCAUUGCACACAUAUGUCUCAUUGGCCUAAGCACAGGAUGAUGGGGCCAUCCUUAAGCUCAAGUUCUGGAUGCACUAGUGGCUGGUGAAGACAGCAGUUGAAAACAGCUCCCUGAGCAGAAGAUGCUGAGGGCGGAAUUGAACCUGUGUGAGAGCUGCCUCCGUGUGCUUUGAAAGGCUCUUCUGCCCCGUUAGGAGAGGACAUGUGAGCACAAGGAGCUCAGACAGUAAUGCACCUUAUUCUGAUGCUUACUUCCCCAGGGAUCUAUGGACACCAAGCAGUCUUCAUCCCCAGAGUUACCAUGCACAGAAUGUGACGAAUUCUGGAAUGAUCUAGUGCUGGCUUCCAUGUGGUCCAGUGCUUAUUUCAAUGCCAUGCACACAGCUUAGGAAGUCACUGCUUUUUCUUUCUAUUUUUUCCAUCUAUUUAUUUACUAAUGUAUUCAUUGUGCAUGUGUGUGUGUGUGUGUGUAUGUGUGUGUGUGUGUGUGUGUGUGUGUGCGUGCGCGUGCAAUCAUGCAUGGAGGUCAGAUGACAAUUUGUGGGAGUCACCUCUCUCCUUCUAUUCUGUGGGUCCCAGGAAUUAAACUCAAGGUAACAGGCUUGGAGGCGAGCCUCUCUUCCUGCUGAACUAACUCACAGGCAGACAUUGUUAGGUUUACUAACCUGUUAGGAAUGUUUACAUGACUGAGUGCAUCAAGUAUCUGAGGCCCUGUUCCUAAGUCUUUGCAUACUGACAGAGGUGUCUAUCUCUUGGUGGUGGGUGGAGUUAGAAGCAAGAAUGGGUUGAGUGAAUGGGUUGGGGUCUCACUGAAUGAGGAAAGUGAUUCGGGUGAUUUGCAUAGCUGCUUUGGCCAGUAUAUCAGGCAUAUAAAGGAGGAAAGGUGUUCCCUGGCCAAGGCUGGGGCUGAGAACAGUUUAAAAAGUCUUAACAGUGUGUAACAAUCCCUCCGAGGCAGUGUGAUCCAUGAGUGUUUCUAGCCUUUAAACUCUUGAAAAGCUCUUAGUGGUGUUGUGGCUGGAGCACAGAUAGGUGCUAUGUGGGCUGGAUGAGUAAUUUGUUGACUAAACAAUGAACAAAGCCAUGAGCCACUUCCAGGUACAGAGAGGUGGGGGACGUUUGGCCUGCUGCCUCUUAACAGAGCUCAGUGUCCCAGAGCUCCGCUGGGAAGACUGAGGUGAGGCACCCUAGCAAAGCUUACCUGCUAGAGUUGUUGUCAGAGGGCAGUGGCCCACCGGCCUCAGCCUGUGGGAAGCCGACUGAUGGUCAGCACAUUGAGACAAGAUGGAAACAGCAUCCAUCAGUGUCACAGGCAUAGAGCAUGCCACAUGGUCUAAACCAAAAUCCGGAGUCCCAGCUUCAUGUUUCCUUCUCCCCAAGAUGUUUCCACCUCAGAACAAUGACAAUUCUUCUCCAGUUCUGUUAAAACCUCGUAGGGCUUCUUACAAACCCUAGCCAUAGUCAGAAACACUGAGCCAGCGCUUAGAGACUUUCAGCUGCUUUCGCCCUCACUCUGUAACCUGCCUCCUUGUUUCUCCAUGUGUCUGCGGCUAGAGGUUUUGUCAGUUUGUCUUUUUUUUUUUUUUUUUUUGAGACAGGGUCUCAUGUAGACAGAUGUAGACAGAGUUGGCCUUGGACUUGCUAAUUAGCUGAAGAUGAAGGAUUCCUUUUAAAUUUUAUUUAAUUUUAUUUCUAUUCACAUGCACGUUUGCUUGUCAGUAUGUGCCUCACUCACUAACAAAGAUUGCCCACGGAAGCCAGGAGAGAAGAUCCCCAGAGCUUGAAUUGCAGGCAGUUGUGAUUUCUGAUUCUCCUGCCUCAAACUCCAAGUACUAGAAUUAUAGAUAGGUAUGCACCACAGCUUAUGUGGGGCUAAGAAUCAAACUCAGUGCCAAAUGCAUGCUGGGUAAGCACUCUGCCGACUGAUCUGUGUCCUUGGGCCCUGGAGUAUUUAUUUUGAAACAUAAGUUAUGGCUGCUCAGUCUUCUACUCAAAAUCCUCCAUUGGCUUUCCACUUGUCUCACAUCAUCAAAUGAACCCAACACCAAACAAUACCCCACAGAAGACCCGGAGUGCUGGCAGCACUCUCUGAGGCUCCCUAGGACUGUCCCCUAUUGUGCUAGCCCAUGCUCACUCUCUGACUCCCUUUCUAUAGCACUCAAAUGUGCCAAGGGCACCCCACUGUGGGCUCUUUAUGAUGUCAUCAUCCUGGCUGGGAGACCACUAGGGGCUGCGUCUGAAGUGCAGCCUCACAAGGUUUGGACAUUGGAAGCCUGGUCCCCAGCUGCUGGGCAGAGAAGCCGACCUCGUCGAUUCCUUGAUUCACUGAUGAGUUCACACCAAAUGGGCUGUUGGGAGCUAAGUCUGGUGGGAGAAGGAGGUAGCUCACGUGAGUGUGUAGCCUCAGGGUACUUAGGCCUACUUCCUGUCCUGUUUCUUGCCACUGUGAGAUGAGCAACUUUUCUCUACCACACUCGUCAGCCAUGAUGCUCUACUCACUAGAGCUCAAGAAACAAUGGAACCAGGUUGCUGCUCCUAGUUCCUUGCCUCUGAAGGAGUAUCCUUGUUUGAAGUGGGCAUGGGCAAGAGUAACAUCAUCUCUGGAACAGGAAGCAAAAGGCAAGGUGAGUGGACUGGUGCAUGAAUGGUAAUGAGGUCCCUCAGCUCACCAUGCUGGCUUCUCUGAAAAAGUUCUAUGGGGUGACUAGAAGCUGUUUGUGUCGCCACAGUUGACUAACUCGAGUCUCUCAAUGGAACCCGUGAUAGAGGAGAGACUAUGGUCAUUGCUGGGGUGGGGCAGUGUAACCACUGUGAUUUAGAAGCAAGAAGUCUUCAAUAUCCCACGAGAUAAACUAAGAGAGGCACUACCUUACCCUUUUCUGUAAGCUACACUACUGGCUCUCUGCUGGGGCGAUUCUGAUAACCAGAUGGCCUUAGGCUAGGAGACAUUAUUUGUUGCUAUGGCGGGGGUGGGUGCGGGUAAAGGAUGGGGGAGGUAAGUGGGGGGGGUGGGGGAGGAGAACCACUAGCCCUUGGUGGGGAGAGGCCAGGAAGCUGAUUAAAGUCCUUCAUUGUACAGGUCAGCCCAACACCAGAGAAUCACUUGGCCCCAGAUGUUAGCAGUGCAGAGAGGGAAGACGAGGGCUUGCAGAACUCAUUCAUUCAUUCAGUAACCUAAGAGCAUGCUCCUUAGUACUUUGCAGUGCUCAACCCGAGAUCCCGGGCUGGCCCCAUGCUUGCUCAUGUGCUAUAUGUAACAUGAAGCUCACAGUAUCGCAGGGUAUGUAUGAGAUCUUAGUAAGAAGUUUAACCUACUAGGCCUUCGGACGUGACUUGCGGGUCAAAUGAAAUCAUGCAAUGACUGAAUGAGCUGAACUGUGUGAACGGCAGAGAGGCAAAUCCAGAUGACAAGUCAUUCUGCAGGACUGCUGGCCCAGCCUCACUGCUAAGUGAGCAGGAGCCAUAGCAGGCAGUGCAGAGAGCAACGAACUGUAAAAUCUCACUAACAUGUGGUGAGGUAGUGUCUCAGGAAAAUGGCUUGUACAAGGCAUUUCUGGAAUCGACCAAGUAAGCUUCUAUGUGGUUAUGUGUUUACACAAAAUAAAAUUAUUAAAAAAGGAAGGUAGACAUUUUAAAAAGAAGUUCAGAAACAGGUGCAGAGGGCCAUGCUAAGUUCUACCAUAGUUCCCUUCGGUUGUCCACUUGACAUAUCUGGAAAGAGGCAUCUUCAAUGAGGAGGGAUUGCCAUUAUCAUACAGGCCUUUGGGCAAGAGGGUCCACCCUACUAUGGGCAGUGCCAUCCCGGGAUGAGUGGUCCUGGGGGGGCUGAGGAAGAAAGCCCGUAAGCAGCCCUGCCCUGCCAUCUCGGCCCUGUUUCCUGUAUCCAGGUUCCUGUCCUGGCUUCCCUUCAUGAUGACCUGUAAGCCAAGCAAUGUCCCUUACCCCUGCCCUGUCACUGCUGGUCAUGGUGCUUAUAACAGCAAGCUGGGACAGGUUUUAACAUCAGUAAUCUGAGCAGUGGGAAUAUAGAACAUAAGUGGUUUUUGCUUCUUUAAACUUUUAAUUUUUUAGCAGUAUAUCUAUAGGAUUAAAAGGCAUUAGAAUCUUGAAUACAAUGUAAGUUAGGCCUGCCGCACAGUGGAUUUGUCUAAAUCUAGGAAGGCUGGCUAUUCAUAGAGAGCAAUCUCAGCCUCAGCUGUUGCCAACGAUGUUUAAAAUAACGAGUUUGGGGGAAAGAGGAGCUUAUGAAUCCUUACCCGGUUCCUGACUUCCGGGGUAUUGGGAAUUACAGACACACAGUUGUGUUUGCACGCAGGGACUGAAGUGGAAGUAAACAAAUCUUUAUAUUUGAAGAUGGAGUUAUGAGAGGGAGGGAGGGCAGCCAAAUUCACGUAAACUCAGAGAAGUUCUGCUACUCACACACAUGGAAAGCUGGCUUUCACUGGAAGCCAGGACUCAUGCUUCUGAAAUACGAAAUUAUCAGAACAGCUAAGUGGGUAUUUAGCACAGACAGCAUAUUUAUGGAAUUGGAUUUUAAUGGGGGCAGGAUCCUAAUACCGUAAGAUUUCACAGCCUUAUUUGCUCAGCAUUGAAUGGCUGGAGUCAGAAGGAAGUGGUCAGCAGUCAUUCUCCCUAGCAAACCCGUAGAAGCAAUUCUUUCCAUGUGAACAUGGUCGGAAGGGAAAAUCUGGCAUACUGACUGAUCACAUGGGCAUCUGCCUUUAUGGUUCCCAUGAAUUGCAUUGAUUUUUGAUGAUUGCAUUUUCCUAAGUUCUGGAACACUCCUUGACGCCCAUCACCCAGCUUCCAAAGGAAGCGAGUCAAGGCCCUUUUGACAGGGUUUUGGACCUCCCCUCACCCCCAAGUUUGGGCAGUGACCAACUAAAGGACGUGUUCUGUACUUGAUUAGCAGGUGAUAAGCAGCAGAUGUUGAGGGUUCAGGAAUCCUCAGGAAACAAAAGCUCAAAGGCGAGAUAAAGCAGCUGGCCCAGACCUAGGUGACAGUCCCCAGGGCAUGGCCUCUGGAGCUGGCCAUAUCAACAUCUAAUCUGACUAUUCUUAGAGGCAGACCAUGGAGGUCUGUGGUGGAGGGUAAGCCGAAGUGUGUGUUUAAAUACUGAGUUCCUUUCUAGAAUAUGGAGCCAUUCAAAACAAAGGCUCUAUUUAUUUUAUAACAGUUUUCCCAAUUUGCUACUCUAUGGCUACUCUGUUAGAAAUGGGAGUUAUAAGUGAUGACAUUGUAUAGAUGUAAGCUUUCAGUUUUCAGUUUAGUCCUAUAUGAUUUUAAGAGAAGUGGGCUGCGGACUGAUACUCAGUGUCUGGCCUCCUGGGACUCCUGUAGCUAAGUAAGCAAUUAGCUUGAGCUCAGUGUAAAAUAGAAAAGCAUGUCUCUGUCUGUAAGGAUAUCACCAUGUAGCAAGCUAGCCAAGCCAGUACAGCAUACUUAGGAUCAGAGUCAAGACAGGAUAUGGCUGCAAUUUACAUCUUUGUUUCCUUUACGUACUGCUUGUGGAGGAGUGUACAUGCAUGCAUGUGUGGGUGUAUAUGUGGAAGUCAGAGGGCAGCGUCUUCUAUCAGUCUCUUCAUUGUUAUUGUUAUUGUUAGUUUUUGAGACAAGGUCUUUCACUUAACCUGGAGCUCACCAUUUUAACUAGAGUAGCUGACCGCUGAGCACCCAGAAAUUCACCCCUUUCUGUGCCUGGUAAACUGAGGAUCUGAACCUAGGUCCCCAGGCUUUCACAGCCAUUACUUUACCCACUGAUCUGCCUCCCCAACUGACGUGGCCAAGUUUUAGGUGAAUUGUUAUAAACCAGCAGACCCCAUAUUAAUAAGGGGCUCAGGGGUUUUGCCUUCAUCCUCUCCUCUGAAUUGGAAGCAGUGCGCAUGUGCCAAGGAUCGUUAAUCAAAUGGAAAAACAAUACUCAGGUCUUACUUAGAGCAGGUUUGUUUUAUAUGAAAAACUGUGCCUUUAAUAGGAAAAUGAAGAGAGUAACAGCUGCUGUUAGGGUGUGUGGGUCCCCACACUUCUGCAAGGGACCUGAGGAAGACUCAGAGUCCGCUGCUCAUGGGCCAGCACUAAGCUCUGAAGGGCUCUGAAGGGCUCCCACAGCAAUUUAGAUCCCAGGCUCUAAGACUUGGCUAACACAUCAUGUCUCUGAAGUGUUAACAACUCCUGUGUGUUAAGAGCAGGCUAUUUCAAAUACUCACAACACACAUGAUAUUUUACUUAAUUAGAAACACAUUCCAUAUCAUCUUAUAACUUGACACUGUCACUGGAAAACAAAGCUUCAGUUUUUACUCUAUGUAUCAACAGAUAUAGAUGAACCACGCUCUUUAAAAUUAUUCUACAAUGUGGAUAUUCUAUAUUAUUUCCAACCACCUCUUAGGUGUGCUAAGUUUUCCUGUUCUACACAUGACCAGUAGACACCCUAUGUACACACACAUGUACAUGCUUAUGUGAAUAUUUAUAGAAGAUAAAUUCAUAAACAUAAAAUUUCUAGGCAGCAUGCAUGAUAGAAAUUUUAAUAGCUAUGGCCGAAUUAUUCUCCAAAAUGGUUUACUCAUUUUUCCUCCCAACUACACUAUAUUUUCCCCACAGUGUCUAUUAAUCUUUAAAAUCCUAGUCAAACUAAUGUAUAAAAAAAGUAUAUCAUUUUAUUUUUGUUCCUUUGAUAUAGAGGAAGAUGGAAUAUCAUUUUAAAUAUUUACUGACAAAAUCUUUUCUCCCUUUGGGAAAAUCUUGUUUAUAGAUAAAAAUUUCCCCUAGAAUGUUUAUAUAUUUUUAUAGAUUUGGAGGAACUUUUUUAUGAUAAUAUUAAUCUUUUGUUGCAAAUAUUUCUUCUAGUAAGACAUCUUUUAUGUGAAUAUGAUAUCUGCUCCAUAAGGAUGUUUUAAAAAAAUCCUUUGUGUAUAAAAAGUCUUAAAUAUACCCUUUCUCUCUCAAAAUAGAAUUCCUUUUAAAAAAACACACCCUGCACACUUGGUUUAUUGUUUCCUGGACAUUACAAUUUCUGUUUUGUGUUUUGGUGUUGUUGUUGUUGUUAAAUGCUAUGACUGAUUCUUGCUAUUCCAUAGGCCGCACAGUGACCGUAGCACAUUGAUUCUGAAUUUGGAUGUUUUAAUUAGUUCUCUAUUAGCUCUAAUAGUAUUCAGAAUUAGUAGUUUUAAAAUCUCCUCUUUAGAGAAACAUUACCAAUCAUAAAAAUUCCAUUUUCAUGUAUUUCCUUUUAAUACUUCCUAGAUGGCCCCUGUUCAGAUUCCACUGCCUUCAGGAAGUCUCUCACUGUGCUUGAUGCCAGCACUUGCUACUCAGUUUUAAGGGAACAAUUCUAAACCUGCCUUACUGAUAUUAACCUUAGAUUUCCAGGAGACAAGUUUUCACUGAGUUAAGACGUUCCUUUUACACUCUAGCUUGCUAAGACAUAGCCAAAAUUAAAUUUGAAUCUAAACAGCUUUUAAGUUCACUGAAAGAAAAUAUAAUUCAAUUAUUUAAAUAGAAGCAAAUGCUCCCUUGUCCUGUAACAUCUAAACGCCAUAUGCUCACUUCAUGAAGACAGGCCAAGGGGCUGACGAGGACACUGGAGUCAGUGUACGUGGUGAGGAUUAGAAUUAGAAACAGGUUUUGGAGCAUAUAAAAACAAUGACAUAUUUAUGGUUAACACAGAUUCCCUCACCUUGAAAUCAUCGGGAAUGAGGAGUUUUGAUGUUCGUAGAAAAUUCAAGAUAUAUCUGAACAUCUGCCCGUCUCUGUCAAUGAAAUAGUGCUGUUUGAGACUGUCCAGGACAAUGGGCUCUGUGCCAUCGAAGAGUCUUCCGAUUCUGCGACGAGAGAGAGAGAGAGAGAGAGAGAGAGAGAGAGAGAGAGAAGAGCAGAGAGAGACAGUCAGAUCAGCCGGCCACUUCUGCCUGCAGUCACCAUCAGCACUUCUGCGGGGGACGUCAGCAGCGACAGCGGCCUCUGAGAAGUGCUGGUCUCUGUGUGAUAAAUAUUCUUAGGGUGAGAAAGUCAGACUACUCUCAGGAUUGUUCGGACAUGCGCCUGCCUUUCUUCUCUGCCUCUCACCUGCCUCUCCCCUGCAAAGGGAACGUCCCGACACCGUGAUCCCAUCCUCAUGACAAGAGGCUGUCACCGUGACUGAAGAACUCGCCUUUCUCCAGUGGUACUCACUUCUGCUGCCUGCAAAAUGUUACUUCUCCUGCAUGUCUUUUUUUUUUUUUUUUUUUUUUUUUGGUUCUUUUUUUCGGAGCUGGGGACCGAACCCAGGGCCUUGCGCUUCCUAGGUAAGCGCUCUACCACUGAGCUAAAUCCCCAGCCCCUCCUGCAUGUCUUUUAAACCCACUCUACUUUAAAAGGUGUUCUGUUUUAAAGAACUGUGUUCCAGCAUUUUCCCAACUCAUAAGUUCCAGGCUUCUAAAAAUACAGCAAUAGAGUGCCAACAGCUAGCUAGUGACACCGAAAGCACACCAGAAAACAGAAUUAUGUGUUCUUUACCACAGUUCAUUUCACUUCUCACUAAGAGUAUGGCUAUCCUACUAGUAUUUCUUAAAUACCCCCCCCCCCCGAUCUUAUAACAUGCCUGUCUCAGUUUAGGAAUAUUAUUUAUUGCUAUAAAGAUUAUUUUGAAAUCAUACAUUAUCUAAUCGUAUGUCGAAAUGUGACAAAGGUCACAAAAAAAAAAUCAAGUAUUUACCCCUUAAACAUGACAAAUCAUAUUUCCCUCUCCUCUGAUAUCAGUCAUGUGAAUUUUUGUUUCACUAAAAAUAUUUUAAAGAUAAUUCUAAAACUCACACCCUAUCCAAAGGUGGCUCAAAAAAAAACCAGAGGAGGGCUGCAUUUCCCGACCAUGGUUAAGAUUUUUUUCCUGAGCUUCCAUGGGCUGCACUGAUUCCAUGGGGUGCAGAUUACAACCACCCUGGGACUCUCUGGCUGUCUGUUAUUCCUCAUUGACACGUCAAUCAAACAGACAAACCCACUGAGUCACGUCCGUGCAGGCUUUUCAGGACAGCCUGCUGCAGGAUGGGAUAGAAGGAGGCUUGCUUGCCUCUUAUUGAAACGUUUAACUCUUCCCUUAAUAAGAUGACAAACACAUGCUUGACAGGGAAAGAAGGGAGGCUGCAUUAACCAAGUUCCUUCCUGGAAGUCUUUCACUGUCCUCAGCACCUUGUACGUGUAACAAAUACACUGUCCUCUUCUUAACGAUGAAGAAAUCCAUUUGAAAGCUUGAGAAACUGGCCUGACUAGUUAGAGAUGUGGAGGAGGGGUCGGCUGCUUCUAAGAAGGGGGCCUCCUCACACCCAUGAGACUCAAAGCACUGUCACUGAGCAGUGAACACUUUGGGCUUAGAGUUGUUUCUGUCUAUAUUUGUUAAAUAAGAGCUUUAUAGUAAUGAAGUCCAAGCCGCUACACUGAUUAAUUUAGGGGCCUGAAAUAAAUCAGUAUCAAUGGUUUCAUCACUUUAUUAAACAGAGACGAAAAGUAUCUUGUCUUAGUUUAGCUGUGGUGGUCUUGCAUACGAACUCCCAAGCCUACACCGGAAGUGCACAAGCACAGGAUGGGUCACUAGUACGUAGGCACCGAAUAGGUGCAGACAAGAGCUGCUCGCUCCUGAAUGAGGAGAGUGGAACAGGAAUGUGGCUUGGCCAGUCACUAGCUAUAACGUGGACGCAUGGCCUUCCUGGUAUCUCUAUUUCUUUUUUACAAAAUUAUCUCAUUUUUAAAAAUGAGCUUUUAUUUCCUCCUGGUUGAUGAGAAAACCCCAGUAAGUCAUGGUGAGCUCAGAAAGUGCACAGUUGUAGAGAUAUUCCAAGAGCGUCAACAUCUCUAUAUUUAUUAACUUAUUAAAACAUGUUAAUAAAUUAACUUAAUAAUAUAGAAAUACAGGUGUAAUUAUCUACCUACUAAUUUUCUAGGCUCUACCUAAGAAAGAAAAUGCAUCAUUAGCUUUUGACCUCUGCAAAUUAGGAAAAAGUGUCCCUGAAAUAGCUCUUAGGGUGUAAAAACAGGAAACGUGGCACGGGUACAACAGAAGUAUUGUGGGAAGAUGAGAAAUUAAAAAAAGAGAGAGCGGGAAGAAAAGCUGAGCAGCCCAGCCCAGCCAAGGCAGAAUCUAAAUGCUUAGGCAAGGCCGUGGGCAGUGAGAAUAAGUCUCCAGGGAGAAACAGGUGGAACUGACCACUAGGACAGCAGAGGUGGAAAGCCAGUCAGGGCUGCAAGGGGCAAGAAGACCCAAGUCCUGCACCGAAGCUCUCAUCCUUAGAGAUAUUCCCCCCUCCUCGAUCCCUGCAACGGCCAAGUCACUUGCUGCUGGCCUUGGAACCUUUAUCCUGACCUAAGAUCGGGAAGGUGGAGGAGCACUGGGCAACCGGAAGCGGAAGGGAAUAGGACAGCUACUGGGACGGACCAAGUAGGGAAGGACUGGCUCCAAGUUAUGGGAACUAGCAAAGGCUGGGUAGGCGGUGGAUAUGCUCCCAGGAGUCCAGGGGCAAAGAGUCCAAAGGCAAAGAAGGGCACGAACCCUUGGGUGGAGGAAAGCUAUGGGAAGCCAUGGGCUGUUUAGGGCAGAAAGGGCUGCAAGAGAGGGGAUAGAGACUGGAAAGAAUUUGAGAGGACUAUAAAGCGGCUGGGGCCUUGGAUACAUAUUCCCCAGCAAGGCAAAAGCCCUCCCAAGAGGAAGUUCGCGCCCUCUCUCAGCCACAGAUGUUACAAGUAAAAUGAGUGCAGUGUGUCACUUUCUGCAGACCUUAAAGGAGGAACUGUGUAAAAACAGCAGAAGGGGAGGGAAGGAGGUGCCAGCAACCAAAGAUGUUGUCUCCCGGUGGGUUUUGAGAUUGAGAAGAUUGUGCUGUGGAAAGUAUUGUUUGGCUAAGUAAAUAAAGGGGGGCACUGACAGGGCGGUAUUUCUCACAGACAUAUGAAUGGAGUUACAAAUCACCCUGCAGUGCUGGGUAAACGCUGCUGCCUGGAAACUGUGUGGGACUGAUUACAGUGUACAGCCCUUGGAAAACAUUCCUGGUUUCCAACUGACCAAGACCAUGCUGCCUCCACAUGAUAUAUGGCUGGGGGUUUCUUUCUCUCUCCCUUUAAAAUAUAAACUCAGCGGACCAAACGGUGAUGCUGAGACAGACUUCCAUGGUGUUUUAAGGGCUAAUCACCAUUUUAACUAGUAUUUUAUGUGUUUCUUUAAAAAGAAUUAUUUUGGAUAAUGUCAAUGUCACACCAAAGCAGACAGAAUAAUAGAAUGAAUCCCCUAAGUGAAGACACCCGCACCCCAGUUUCAAAGCCUGUCAGUUCUUAAUUAAUCUUCCAUGUGUACCUUCAUGCCUCACUGGGCCUUCCUGGGAGUUUCGAAGUAAAUUCCAAACAUCAUAUCAUUUUAUCUGAAUGUUUCAUUAAUUGCUAACGUUAUAAAGGUCUGUUAAAAUAGGAAGUAAAUAAUGUUGAAUAUUAUUUUUCUUCGGAACUUUUGCAUAUGAGCACUGUGGAUUCCUUUUGCUUACUACUCUGGGCAGAGCCUACUGUGGAAGCCAGACUCCUUUGGGUGAAAAGUCGGUAUGGUUUCCUGCUAUGAUGGGUUCCUCGGGAGAGCUGUGUUACAGCUAAAGUAAAAUCUGAUUUACCUAGGUCCGUAUGGAUCAGUCAUUAAGACCGUCUUCUGCCUUCAUUCAUACGUAGGCCCUGGUUUCUGUAAUGUACUGACUCAGUUUCUUAAGAGUUUUCCUUUGUUUUUGUGUCAUUGUUUAGUUAUUCAUUCAGAAUCCACUGAACUUGACUACCAGUAACAGGUCUGGGGGUGUGGGAGGGUGUGGGUAAGACACAGUCCUUGCUUUUGUGGAAUUUAAUAGUCUGUGUGUCUGGAAGCAUGGUCAAGUGUAGCAUGACCGAGUAAAUCACUCACUGUGUGGAGUCGACAUAAGGACAGAAAGGAGACGUACCUACCCCAUUAAACUCAACUGUGGGUUAGCAGGGAAGAAAGCCGAGGUCUCUGGAGUCUUGACGUUAGUCAAGGACAGGACCAGGAGGGAAGGGUAGGAGAGGGCACAGGAGAUAGAAAUAGAAAAGCUUGAAGCCAGAAAAAGUUUCCCGUGUGACUUCUAUGCUGAAUCAGGCUGACUGAAAAAUGAGGCCUAAGCGACAGAAGCUAUACAGUGAAGGGCCGGUCGGUGCGUCCAUGAUGGGAUAUAGAGCUGCUUUGCGGGGGUUGGAACUGGUGGCAGGUGGUUCUCCAGGAAAUCUCAAGUGCAAGAACAAACUUAGAAAGGAGACAGAAGUGAGACACCAUACUCCUCAUGGCCAGAGCUCAUCCAAACCCUGCGUCUGUGCCUGCUUUUGACAGUGUCAUGUGGAUGGUGAUGUGGUUCUCAGUCCUGGCUGACAUUGAAAAUCCCUGGUAACUUUUGAAAAAUACUGAUCUCAGGGCCCCCCAAGUCAUUAUGGUGUGAUUCAGAAUAAAGACUAAAUGGCUGGGGUUUUUGAAAGCUUUCCAAGUUUGUGUGUUCAUUUGUUUGUGAGACAGGACCUCACCAUGUAGUCCAGGCUGGCCUUGAACUCACAGAGAUCUUCCUGUCUCUGCCUCCUCUCCUAAGUGCUGGGCUUAAAGGUGUGUGCCAUCACAAGCACAGUGGGCAACCCUGAACUUUUCCUGAUCCUCUUUCCCUUCUUUCUUCUAUCCCUGGAAUGCUAGGAUAGGGUGCACACACCACAGUAGUUCUCACUAAGCUGAAACUUAGUGUCAAAGAGGAGGUUACAGAACUUGCUCAAGUCCCAUGCUCCUGGAAUGCUUUCAGUUAGUCAUUUUGUUAUCUUAAACUGUCAGAACCCUCCCUCCAAUAGCCGUCCACACUUUCAGAAAUGAAAGACUUGACCCAGUUCAACCUCUUGUUUUAUAAAUAUAGCAACAAUCAUAAAUCUAUCAUACAAGUUGGCUAGGCACAGAGUUUCUCUAAAUCUCAUCUGCUGCCCCAUGGUGGCCAGCAGAGACAGGCACAUUCAUGCCCCUGGAGGGCUACUAUUCUAAGGCUAGUUACGAGGAGUUUCCACCACUCAAUGACCUAGACAUCUUACAGGCCUUAUCUUGCUUAGCCCAUCCUACAGUGAUCCCCACAGGUAGCCUUAGCUUCUCAUCUCAUGGGAAGGAGAGAGCCCAGAUGGGGCUUGAGUGACAACCUUGGUCUGACUUAAAAGCUUUCCUUGAUCACUAUGUACACUGCCUCUUCAUGGAUGCUUUAAAAAAAAUCAAAGAGCUUCUUUUAGGACAUGCACAAUUGUUAUAGUUUGAUAUGCUGAUAGCCCAAGAUGUUAUCUUGUAAUUAUCUAUUAUGUAGGGAAAAUGGUUUACUUAAUAUCUGGGGUAUAAAAAGCUGAGAUCUGGGGCUUCUAGUCAAGACCAGUGAAGGAAGUGGUGUGUAAUGAGGUUACCACAUUCCAAGUCAAACUAAAAAGACACCCCAAGACUUCUGCGGUUACUGCCAAUAGUAAAACUGAGGAGGGUCACAGGUAGGGACGGGAGCUGAGCCUUGGCAGAGUGGUGAAAAGUGCCCGUGGGACAGGGACAGAACUGAUUCUGCUUACUUUGUCACUACUGUCCUGGACACAUUGUGUCCUUCACUGAAUCUGGAACAUUCCCAUGGGGUUUAUGGCUUUACAGCUGUGGAAACUCAUGCCGGGAGGUUCCCAUCCUUACUGAGGCCACCUUCAGUCCCCAGUUCUCUAUACCCUGUCCUUUCCACCCAGUAGACACCUAGUCAUAUGCUGUUUCACACGUGGGACAGGAUGCCACACUCUGUUUACCUAGGGACACAUGGGACAACCCUUCCAGGUCACUUAACCCGGACUGCCACUGUAGCUCUAUGUACAGUUUCUGUAGGACGGAUUGAACAGAGAGGGUGAGAAAGACCCUUGGGGAAUGAAAUGCUAAGACUGACCAGGGGGCAGUGGGGAGGAAAGGCAGAGAAGUACACUAGGUGGGCAUUUAUACCCACGCAGGAGGAAAACAUGGUUUGGACUUGGAGAAAGAUUCCAUCUAGUUUCUGGUCCAGAUUUAUUUUGCUGGCUACCAGAUUCAGAGGCAACUCCCAAAUGAUCUCUUUAGCAUUUAGGGAUAUUUUAAAGUUAUAAAUGGUAUCUAUUCAUUGAGAGUUGGGAAAGUAUGGAGGGUGGAAAUGUUAGCUGAACAUAAAAUCUAUUGAAAGACCCCAGCUUAGCAGCAGUAACGCCAUUUUGCAAGGCUGUACUUAAGAUGACUGGUUCAGGGAAAGGUUAGAACACUGCGUACACAGCGGCUGCCAAGCAGGAUGUGUAUGGUUGAAGGCCUGGCAACAGGACCACUGCGGUUGAGCACCUGACAAUGAGAAAAGCCCCGGGAGAGGUCCCACACCCUGGUGGGGGGCCGAGUCAGUCGUUAUGUUCCAGGAAGGUAGCUAGGAAACUUGCCCCCGGGCUGAACCCUUGCCACAUUAGAAUCCACCAAUUAUAUCCCUGUAACCAUGCAUCUGCUUCUGUAUGCUUGCUUCUGCUCCCCAGAAUCCUAUAAAAAGCCCAUCCUUGGUUCCGUGGGGCGCGCCAGUCCCCCGAGUGACUGAAGCGCCCACAGGUGCCUGUGUAUCCCGACAAUAAACCAAAUCCUCUUGCUGAUUGCA
Non-coding RNA from Rattus norvegicus (Norway rat), 15685 nucleotides. NCBI's taxonomy places the organism in Eukaryota, Metazoa, Chordata, Mammalia, Rodentia, Muridae. The record is from RefSeq and is a predicted model, not a curated record.